GAUGAACGCUAGCUACAGGCUUAACACAUGCAAGUCGAGGGGAAACGGCAUCGAAAGCUUGCUUUUGAUGGGCGUCGACCGGCGCACGGGUGAGUAACGCGUAUCCAACCUGCCCAUCACUUGGGAAUAACCUUGCGAAAGUAAGACUAAUGCCCAAUGACAUCCCACGAAGGCAUCCGAAUGGGAUUAAAGAUUUAUCGGUGAUGGAUGGGGAUGCGUCUGAUUAGCUUGUUGGCGGGGUGACGGCCCACCAAGGCAACGAUCAGUAGGGGUUCUGAGAGGAAGGUCCCCCACAUUGGAACUGAGACACGGUCCAAACUCCUACGGGGGGCAGCAGUGAGGAAUAUUGGUCAAUGGGCGAGAGCCUGAACCAGCCAAGUAGCGUGCAGGAUGACGGCCCUAUGGGUUGUAAACUGCUUUUAUAAGGGAAUAAAGUGGGUCACGUGUGACUUUUUGCAUGUACCUUAUGAAUAAGGACCGGCUAAUUCCGUG
Molecule: ribosomal RNA, 492 nt
Filed under: uncultured bacterium
Lineage: Bacteria
Description: partial 16S ribosomal RNA
Rfam family: Bacterial small subunit ribosomal RNA
Source: RNAcentral